GUGAAACCAGGAAGGGGAGGCCCAGGCUGUGAGCUAGAGAAAAGUUCACCUGAUUUUGUCUGAGAAGCCCUGCAGCAUAUCCCUGGCAAGUAUGAAGACUUCCUUCAGGUCAUCUAUGAGUUUGAGUCAAGUACUCAGAGGCAGACAGCUGUGGAUCUCUACAAGAGCCUGCAAAUUCUGCUCCAGGACUGGCCUCAGCUGUUGAAGGACUUUGCUGCUUUCUUGUUGCCUGAGCAAGCACUGGCCUGUGGAUUAUCUACAGGUGUAAAGUGGAC
Long non-coding RNA from Budorcas taxicolor (takin), 275 nucleotides. RefSeq lists it as uncharacterized. The record is from RefSeq and is a predicted model, not a curated record. The transcript has 3 exons. NCBI's taxonomy places the organism in Eukaryota, Metazoa, Chordata, Mammalia, Artiodactyla, Bovidae.